CAGUAGGGAAUCUUCGGCAAUGGACGAAAGUCUGACCGAGCAACGCCGCGUGAGUGAAGAAGGUUUCGGAUCGUAAACUCUGUUGGUAGAGAAGAACGUUGGUGAGAGUGGAAAGCUCAUCAAGUGACGGUAACUACCCAGAAAGGGACGGCUAACUACGUGCCAG
Molecule: ribosomal RNA, 166 nt
Filed under: uncultured bacterium
Lineage: Bacteria
Description: partial 16S ribosomal RNA
Rfam family: Bacterial small subunit ribosomal RNA
Source: RNAcentral